This 253-nucleotide ribosomal RNA is filed under the name uncultured bacterium. RNAcentral describes it as "partial 16S ribosomal RNA". It matches the Rfam family "Bacterial small subunit ribosomal RNA", at positions 524 to 776 of the family's 1533-position model. The record is from RNAcentral.
GACAGAGGGUGCAAACGUUGUUCGGAAUUACUGGGCGUAGAGCGCGUGUAGGCGGCCCUGCAAGUCGGGUGUGAAAUCCCACGGCUCAACCGUGGAAGUGCACUCGAAACUGCAGGGCUAGAGUCCUGGAGAGGAAGGUGGAAUGCUUGGUGUAGAGGUGAAAUUCGUAGAUAUCAAGCGGAACACCGGUGGCGAAGGCGGCCUUCUGGACAGUGACUGACGCUGAGACGCGAAAGCGUGGGGAGCAAACAGG